AGCGAACGCUGGCGGCAGGCCUAACACAUGCAAGUCGAACGAACCUUUCGGGGUUAGUGGCGGACGGGUGAGUAACACGUGGGGACGUGCCUUUAGGUUCGGAAUAACUCAGGGAAACUUGUGCUAAUACCGAAUGUGCCCUUCGGGGGAAAGAUUAAUCGCCUUUAGAGCGGCCCGCGUCUGAUUAGCUAGUUGGUUGAGGUAAUGGCUCACCAAGGCGACGAUCAGUAGCUGGUCUGAGAGGAUGAUCAGCCACAUUGGGACUGAGACACGGCCCAAACUCCUACGGGAGGCAGCAGUGGGGAAUCUUGCGCAAUGGGCGAAAGCCUGACGCAGCCAUGCCGCGUGAAUGAUGAAGGUCUUAGGAUUGUAAAAUUCUUUCACCGGGGACGAUAAUGACGGUACCCGGAGAAGAAGCCCCGGCUAACUUCGUG
Molecule: ribosomal RNA, 434 nt
Filed under: uncultured bacterium
Lineage: Bacteria
Description: partial 16S ribosomal RNA
Rfam family: Bacterial small subunit ribosomal RNA
Source: RNAcentral